CCCAGACUCCUACGGGAGGCAGCAGUGAGGAAUAUUGGUCAAUGGUCGGGAGACUGAACCAGCCAAGCCGCGUGAGGGAUGAAGGUACAGAGUAUCGUAAACCUCUUUUGUCAGGGAACAAAGGCGGGGACGUGUCCCCGGAUGAGUGUACCUGAAGAAAAAGCAUCGGCUAACUCCGUGCCAGCAGCCGCGGUAAUACGGAGGAUGCGAGCGUUAUCCGGAUUUAUUGGGUUUAAAGGGUGCGCAGGCGGUCUGUUAAGUCAGCGGUCAAAGCCCGGGGCUCAACCCCGGCCCACCGUUGAAACUGGCGGGCUGGAGUUGGAGAGAAGUACGCGGAAUGCGCGGUGUAGCGGUGAAAUGCAUAGAUAUCGCGCAGAACUCCGAUUGCGAAGGCAGCAUGCCGGCUCCACACUGACGCUGAGGCACGAAAGCGUGGGUAUCGAACAGGAUUAGAUACCCUAGUA
Molecule: ribosomal RNA, 464 nt
Filed under: uncultured bacterium
Lineage: Bacteria
Description: bacterial SSU rRNA
Rfam family: Bacterial small subunit ribosomal RNA
Source: RNAcentral